This is a non-coding RNA of Spinacia oleracea (spinach), 91 nucleotides long. Lineage: Eukaryota; Viridiplantae; Streptophyta; Magnoliopsida; Caryophyllales; Amaranthaceae. The record is from Rfam.
AAGCAGUGAUGAUAUUUCUGCGCAUAUUGUGGCAACUUUGGGGUCGCUACCAUCUUCUGAUCAUCCAGAAGAAAAUUGUGCAACUGAGCUU